AAACGUAACCCACCACUUUUACCCGUCCGAACCUGCCCAAAGAACCUCGCAUAAUCCGUUCCACCCCACUAACCAACCAACCCAAUUUCAAUUAUGUGGUUUAAUCAAGGCCGUUGGAUCCCAUCAUCCAAUGGCCCAAACUAAUUAACUUAUUUCUAAUAUAUCAAAAAUACCAACCCCCCACCCAUCAGACCAAACCCCCCUCUCUUGCUCCUCGUCCUCGUCUCUUCAGAGACACCCUUCACUCCGCCGCCCCCACCCACCGUAAAUCACCUCACAGCGUUUCCGCUGGUCCAAUCCCUUCCAAUAUUACGCCCAUGAACCACCAAACCCCCCUCAUUCCAAAUCCCUACUUUUUUUCUCUCGAAUGCUAGCCUAGCUUCUCAAAUUUUAAAUCUAAUAAGAAACCCUAAAAUCCCAAAAAUAGGCUAAUGGAAGUUUUCUUAACGGAUUAGGUAUAUUAAAACUUUAUUCUUGUUUUAUUGCUAAGAACACACGAAUAAUGUAGAAGUGGACAAAAUUGGAGGAAUCCAAAAAAUUUGAGCCAUGUUUUCUGCUGGUGCAAUAUUAGGUAUUUCUGUUCUCAUUUUUGUAUUGUCUCUGUUUACUUUUAUUUUUGUUUUAUUCUUCUUCUGCCUCUUUCUCAUAGUUUUUUUAGAAUUAUUUGGGACUGGAUUUUGUUUGUUAUUUGUUCUACGGUUUUUCUUUCUCAGUUUUUGAGUCUUUGUUAAUUGUGUUUAAUCUAUACAUCUAGUGUAUUUAGUUUUACUUAGGCUGUCAUUUUUUAUUCUUUUAUGUUAGUUUGUUGUUUGACUAAAUAGUAAAUUAACUUUAGCUUGUUAAUCAGUUUAAUAGUAUAGAUUAGUUGUUGUUUAUUUUCUUUUGUUUAUUCCUAACCAUUGUGUAGGUUGAUUUUUUAGGGAAAUUUGACCCGUUUGUAAGGUUGAAGGUAGAGUUUUGGGCUCACAGAGGUAAUUCGCAGAGGGUUCAGGGGUUGUUUGGGAUUUAAAACCUAAAAGUGAUUUAGUUUAAAAUGGUCUGCCAGUUGAAUAUUCAGUGUGCCACUAACCCAUUGAAUAUUUUAAUCAAAAUGGGGAAUAAGGGGAUGACCUAGUGCCUUUACUAAUUGAAAUUCAGAAACAAUAGAUUAAUAAUGAAAAAGCUAAAAGGGAGCACAUUGGGAGGGAAUAUACAAGUUGGACAACAAAACUUACAUGGGGGUAAUGAUAAAAGUCUUAGAAUAUGCAAGCUAGAAAUAGAAAAGGGGAGGGGAGGGUGGCAAGCUUGAUCUUUAAAUAGAAACACCACACAGACAUAGAAGGGGGAGAACUUUCAGACUUGAAGAAAACAACAUUUUGAGAGAUAUUAGGGCAUUCUGAUUUCUCGAGAGACGGUUUUAUAAAUAGUAACUGUAAGUUUGAGACAGAGAGUUCUGAAAGACUUUUAGAACGUUGGGAGUGAUUUUCAGACAUUAAAAGAGAGCUUAGGACUUUCUUGAAGGAGAUGGAGGUCUAAAAAAAGAAGAGAGCUUAGGAAUACAGAACAUUGGGUUUAUAAAGGGCUUCAACACUGUACUAAAAUAACUCUACUAUUCCAUUGAAACUGGUCUACUCUUUGUUGGUUUUUCUUGAAUUCCUGGGUUUAAUUUCAAGCUCGUUUAAGUUUGUUUGAGUAUGUUUGGGUAUUUUUUGUGAUUUUUGUUUCACACUUCUUUCCGUACUGUGUUUAAGUGUGUUUCUGGGCUGAACUGGUUGUGUUCGUGGUUGUUUGAACUCCAAAUCUGCAAUUACACUUCUUAUUUGCUGCUACUAACUUUCUCCUUCUUCAUUGUUGUAACUUUCAGGUACAUAUUCUACCCUUGUCUUGUUGUAGACCUAAAUUUAAGAGUGAAAUAAUGACUAUACAUGACUUCUCAUGUUCAACUGUGUUCGAUGGUCUACUGUAGUCCCACCAGUUCUCAAAACUAGAUGAAUAUUCAUCUUGUAAUUAAUGUGGAAUCGAGAUAUGUAACUGCUAGGUUAGAAAUCAGAUUAUCAGCAUAGUAACUACUUACUCGGACUGGAAGAUGAAUAUUUUCAAAUCUAUAUGGACAUUGUGAGUAGAAUGCUAGAUGUUGUCAAUUUCAGUUUAAACUAUUAGACUAAUUUGUAGUUUAUGUUUAGGUUGAUUUCUUGACAGUAGAGUCCAAAGUAAUAUAUGAUAACAAUUCUUAAAUAGUGAAUAAGUAAGGAUUUUCUUUUAUUUAUUAGAGAUAAACG
Molecule: long non-coding RNA, 2258 nt
Filed under: Nicotiana benthamiana
Lineage: Eukaryota; Viridiplantae; Streptophyta; Magnoliopsida; Solanales; Solanaceae
Description: long non-coding RNA (NBEN_LNC028038)
Source: RNAcentral